UGGGGAAUAUUGGACAAUGGGGGAAACCCUGAUCCAGCGACGCCGCGUGUGUGAAGAAGGCCUUCGGGUUGUAAAGCACUUUUAGUGGGGAUAAAAAGCGCAAGGCUAAUAAACUUGCGUCUUGAUCUAACCCAAAGAAAAAGCACCGGCUAACUCUGUGCCAGCAGCCGCGGUAAUACAGAGGGUGCAAGCGUUAAUCGGAAUUACUGGGCGUAACGCGUGCGUAGUCGGGUAUUUAAGUCGGAUGUG
RNAcentral lists this ribosomal RNA (249 nucleotides) under uncultured Sinobacteraceae bacterium. RNAcentral's name for it is "partial 16S ribosomal RNA". It matches the Rfam family "Bacterial small subunit ribosomal RNA", at positions 355 to 596 of the family's 1533-position model. Lineage: Bacteria; Pseudomonadati; Pseudomonadota; Gammaproteobacteria; Nevskiales; Nevskiaceae. The record is from RNAcentral.